UACGUAGGGGGCGAGCGUUGUCCGGAUUUAUUGGGCGUAAAGCGCUCGCAGGUGGUCCGAUGCGUCGUGCGUGAAAGACCCCGGCUCAACUGGGGGGCGUCGUGCGAUACAGUCGGACUGGAGGCCAGUAGGGGGAUGCGGAAUUCCGGGUGUAGUGGUGGAAUGCGUAGAGAUCCGGAGGAACACCAGCGGCGAAGGCGGCAUCCUGGACUGGUCCUGACACUCAGGAGCGAAAGCGUGGGGAGCGAUCCGG
This 253-nucleotide ribosomal RNA is filed under the name uncultured bacterium. RNAcentral's name for it is "partial 16S ribosomal RNA". It matches the Rfam family "Bacterial small subunit ribosomal RNA", at positions 524 to 776 of the family's 1533-position model. The record is from RNAcentral.